This is a non-coding RNA of Pelobates cultripes (western spadefoot toad), 225 nucleotides long. Lineage: Eukaryota; Metazoa; Chordata; Amphibia; Anura; Pelobatidae. The record is from the annotation of a GenBank genome assembly.
CAAACAAUCACGCUCUGCCAACCCUCUCAUAAUUAAUCACACACAGUCAGUACACACAUCCCACAUAAUUACACACAGCCAGUAUACACAGGCUUAUUGUUUAGAAGGGAGCAAUAAGGGGUGACGAGAUCGACCCAUCUUUGACUCUUGUAGCAGUGUCCUGUGGUUCCUGCUUACGCCCCUGGGAGCCAGGGGACAAUUGAUGGCAAGUACGUUCAGAGUUGC